Molecule: non-coding RNA, 770 nt
Filed under: Scolytinae sp. BMNH 1043001
Lineage: Eukaryota; Metazoa; Arthropoda; Insecta; Coleoptera; Curculionidae
Source: RNAcentral
UAAAGUUUCUUGAACUAGGUUUUUUGUUUUUGUUCAUUUUAAAUGUAAAUAUUAUUUUGAAGUUUUAAGUAUAUUUAUAUAAAAUAAAAUUUUAAUUUGCAGUGAAUAAAUUUAAUUAAUUUAAUAGUUUAAGAUUUAGUGAAAUUAAUAAGCAUAGACUAAUUUUGUGCCAGCAGUAGCGGUUAUACAGGUUAUGCAAUAUAAAAAUUUUGAAUUUGGUUAAUUUUUAUUGAAGAUUAAUAAUUAAGAUUUAUAAGGUGAAAUUUUAAAUCUUAUUAAUAUUAUAGUAUAGUUAUAGUGAAGCUAAGAAGUUUUAAUUUUAAAACUAGGAUUAGAUACCCUAUUAUAAAAGAGUAAGUGUGUAUUUCAUAUUAUUAUAAGAAUAAUUUCUUUAAAAUAAAAAGAAUUGGCGGUAUUUUAAUCUAUUCAGAGGAAUCUGUUCUGUAAAUGAUAGUCCACGUUUAAUUUGUCUUUUUUUAAAAAAUUUACAUAUCGCCGUGGAUAAAUAUUCUUUAAAGAAUUAUUUAAUAUUUGAAUAAAAUUUAUUUCAGGUCAAGAUGUAGUGGUAUAGAAAAGUGGAAAUGGAUUACUGUUAUAGUAUUAUUGGAUUAGGAAUUUUAAUAGUAUUAUGAAAUUGGAUUUGAGUGUAAUUUCUUAUUUAUUUUAGAAAUGAUUUUGUUCUAAAGUAUGCACAUAUUGCCCGUCGCUUUCAUUUAAAUUGAAAUAAGUCGUAACAAAGUAGGUGUACUGGAAAGUGUCCCUAGAAACAA